This 244-nucleotide unclassified non-coding RNA is filed under the name Hevea brasiliensis (rubber tree). The record is from RNAcentral. Lineage: Eukaryota; Viridiplantae; Streptophyta; Magnoliopsida; Malpighiales; Euphorbiaceae.
GCCUCCAAACAGUCUUCAUGGUGUCUAAUCAUCAAACUCCUUCAACAUGUUCUUGUAUGGUUCAAUCCUGUUGGAACUGUCAUGGGAUCAGUGUAUAUAGUUCUGAGGAAGUUUGUUAUUUCUAUUUUGUAGUUUAAAUAAAUUACAAUUUAGUUUUAAGAUUUAGUGAAACUUAUAAAUUAGUCCUUGAAUUUUUAAAAUCUACCUAUUUAAUCCUUAAUAUUUUAAUAAACUUAUAGUCCCU